Molecule: ribosomal RNA, 27 nt
Filed under: Ficus pandurata
Lineage: Eukaryota; Viridiplantae; Streptophyta; Magnoliopsida; Rosales; Moraceae
Description: partial 18S ribosomal RNA
Source: RNAcentral
CCUGCCCCAGCAGAGAGACCCGCGAAC